RNAcentral lists this ribosomal RNA (478 nucleotides) under uncultured bacterium. Its description in RNAcentral is "partial 16S ribosomal RNA". It matches the Rfam family "Bacterial small subunit ribosomal RNA", at positions 28 to 523 of the family's 1533-position model. The record is from RNAcentral.
GACGAACGCUGGCGGCGUGCUUAACACAUGCAAGUCGAACGGUAAGGCCCUUCGGGGUACACGAGUGGCGAACGGGUGAGUAACACGUGGGUGAUCUGCCCUGCACUUCGGGAUAAGCCUGGGAAACUGGGUCUAAUACCGGAUAGGACUCCGGACUGCAUGGUCUGGGGUGGAAAGCUUUUGCGGUGUGGGAUGGGCCCGCGGCCUAUCAGCUUGGUGGUGGGGUGAUGGCCUACCAAGGCGACGACGGGUAGCCGGCCUGAGAGGGUGACCGGCCACACGGGGACUGAGAUACGGCCCAGACUCCUACGGGAGGCAGCAGUGGGGAAUAUUGCACAAUGGGCGCAAGCCUGAUGCGGCGACGCCGCGUGAGGGAUGACGGCCUUCGGGUUGUAAACCUCUUUCAGCAUCGACGAAGCGAAAGUGACGGUAGGUGCAGAAGAAGGACCGGCCAACUACGUGCCAGCCGCCGCCGUAA